This 212-nucleotide small nucleolar RNA is filed under the name Sinocyclocheilus anshuiensis. RNAcentral's name for it is "Small nucleolar RNA U3 (ENSSANG00000031517.1)". It matches the Rfam family "Small nucleolar RNA U3". From Rfam's summary of the family: Small nucleolar RNAs (snoRNAs) are involved in the processing and modification of rRNA in the nucleolus. There are two main classes of snoRNAs: the box C/D class, and the box H/ACA class. The record is from Rfam by way of RNAcentral. Lineage: Eukaryota; Metazoa; Chordata; Actinopteri; Cypriniformes; Cyprinidae.
AAGACUAUAUUUUCAGAGAUAAUUUUUAUAGUUCUCUACUUGGAAAUGUGUUUUGAAAGUGUUUGCCUCCCAACCCAUGAUGAGGAGCUGUGAUGCUUUUUUCUGAGAGUGAAUCAAAGAUAGAGCUGUGAUUUUGGUUGCAAACUCUGUCACUGAUGAGUGUUCUCUAUUGCUUUUGGCAAUAUUGAUGAAAGGGGUAUGAUCUGAGUGGU